This 664-nucleotide ribosomal RNA is filed under the name uncultured Pseudomonadota bacterium. Its description in RNAcentral is "bacterial SSU rRNA". It matches the Rfam family "Bacterial small subunit ribosomal RNA", at positions 64 to 723 of the family's 1533-position model. The record is from RNAcentral. Lineage: Bacteria; Pseudomonadati; Pseudomonadota.
UAACAGGAAACAGCUUGCUGUUUCGCUGACGAGUGGCGGACGGGUGAGUAAUGUCUGGGAAACUGCCUGAUGGAGGGGGAUAACUACUGGAAACGGUAGCUAAUACCGCAUAACGUCGCAAGACCAAAGAGGGGGACCUUCGGGCCUCUUGCCAUCGGAUGUGCCCAGAUGGGAUUAGCUAGUAGGUGGGGUAACGGCUCACCUAGGCGACGAUCCCUAGCUGGUCUGAGAGGAUGACCAGCCACACUGGAACUGAGACACGGUCCAGACUCCUACGGGAGGCAGCAGUGGGGAAUAUUGCACAAUGGGCGCAAGCCUGAUGCAGCCAUGCCGCGUGUAUGAAGAAGGCCUUCGGGUUGUAAAGUACUUUCAGCGGGGAGGAAGGGAGUAAAGUUAAUACCUUUACUCAUUGACGUUACCCGCAGAAGAAGCACCGGCUAACUCCGUGCCAGCAGCCGCGGUAAUACGGAGGGUGCAAGCGUUAAUCGGAAUUACUGGGCGUAAAGCGCACGCAGGCGGUUUGUUAAGUCAGAUGUGAAAUCCCCGGGCUCAACCUGGGAACUGCAUCUGAUACUGGCAAGCUUGAGUCUCGUAGAGGGGGGUAGAAUUCCAGGUGUAGCGGUGAAAUGCGUAGAGAUCUGGAGGAAUACCGGUGGCGAAGGCG